Molecule: ribosomal RNA, 253 nt
Filed under: uncultured bacterium
Lineage: Bacteria
Description: partial 16S ribosomal RNA
Rfam family: Bacterial small subunit ribosomal RNA
Source: RNAcentral
UACGUAGGGUGCGAGCGUUGUCCGGAAUUAUUGGGCGUAAAGAGCUUGUAGGCGGUCUGUCGCGUCUGCUGUGAAAAUCCGGGGCUCAACCCCGGACUUGCAGUGGGUACGGGCAGACUAGAGUGUGGUAGGGGAGACUGGAAUUCCUGGUGUAGCGGUGAAAUGCGCAGAUAUCAGGAGGAACACCGAUGGCGAAGGCAGGUCUCUGGGCCGCUACUGACGCUGAGAAGCGAAAGCGUGGGGAGCGAACAGG